This 217-nucleotide ribosomal RNA is filed under the name uncultured bacterium. RNAcentral's name for it is "partial 16S ribosomal RNA". It matches the Rfam family "Bacterial small subunit ribosomal RNA", at positions 328 to 539 of the family's 1533-position model. The record is from RNAcentral.
ACGCUCGACACCUACGGGGGCAGCAGUGAGGAAUAUUGGUCAAUGGGCGCUAGCCUGAACCAGCCAAGUAGCGUGAAGGAUGAAGGCUCUAUGGGUCGUAAACUUCUUUUAUAUAAGAAUAAAGUGCAGUAUGUAUACUGUUUUGUAUGUAUUAUAUGAAUAAGGAUCGGCUAACUCCGUGCCAGCAGCCACGGUAAUCUGAGCGGGCUGGCAAGGC